AACGCGAAGAACCUUACCAGGACUUGACAUGCAACUGCACCACCCGUAAUGGGGUGUCCCUUCGGGGCGAUUGCACAGGUGCUGCAUGGCUGUCGUCAGCUCGUGUCGUGAGAUGUUGGGUUCAGUCCCGCAACGAGCGCAACCCCUGCCGUUAGUUACUGUGUCUAGCGGGACCGCCGCGAUCAACGCGGAGGAAGGCGGGGAUGACGUCAAGUCAGCACGGCCCUUACGUCCUGGGCUACACACACGCUACAAUGGUCGGUACAACGGGCUGCCAACCCGCAAGGGGGAGCCAAUCCCAACAAAACCGGCCUCAGUUCAGAUUGUAGGCUGAAACCCGCCUACAUGAAGGAGGAGUUGCUAGUAACCGUAGGUCAGCACACUACGGUGAAUACGUUCCCGGGCCUUGUACACACCGCUACAGU
Molecule: ribosomal RNA, 425 nt
Filed under: uncultured bacterium
Lineage: Bacteria
Description: bacterial SSU rRNA
Rfam family: Bacterial small subunit ribosomal RNA
Source: RNAcentral